This 422-nucleotide long non-coding RNA is filed under the name Homo sapiens (human). RNAcentral describes it as "non-protein coding lnc-MAP3K9-3:15". The record is from RNAcentral. Lineage: Eukaryota; Metazoa; Chordata; Mammalia; Primates; Hominidae.
GAGGGGAACUUUUUUUUUAAUCAUUAGGCAUCCGCAGACGCCUUUAUACGUACUCCAAAAUGCUAGUAAGGAUGAAGAUGAACUCUCCUCAGCCCGUGUCUUUUAACUGUAGAAACUUUUCUGAGAAAUGAAAAGAGGCUUGCUCAUGACUUGGAAGCGGUGGGCUGAGGCCUCCCAAGACCAUCUGGCUUGUUCCAUUGCCAGCCAGAGUGGAGGCGACAUUCACACGAACCCAGGAGCUGCAGGGGCGCGUGAGCUACAGCUGCCUUGUGGCAUCCAAGGAGUGCGCAGUGAGAUUCCGCAGGAGAAAUCACGCUUUGCAUGUUCUUGAGUACAAGAAACAUGUGUAAUGAGGGUUUUUGUUUGCGGGCAUGCCAAGGAGAACGACUGGAAUAUUAAAGUCAUCACAGCCUUUAUUUAAG